This 253-nucleotide ribosomal RNA is filed under the name uncultured Zavarzinella sp. Its description in RNAcentral is "partial 16S ribosomal RNA". It matches the Rfam family "Bacterial small subunit ribosomal RNA", at positions 524 to 776 of the family's 1533-position model. Lineage: Bacteria; Pseudomonadati; Planctomycetota; Planctomycetia; Gemmatales; Gemmataceae. The record is from RNAcentral.
GACGAACCGAGCGAACGUUGUUCGGAAUCACUGGGCUUAAAGGGCGCGUAGGCGGGCGGCCGCGUCCGGGGUGAAAUCCCACGGCUCAACCGUGGAACGGCCCCGGGUACGGGUCGCCUGGAGGGGGGUAGGGGCGUGCGGAACUGUGCGUGGAGCGGUGAAAUGCGUUGAUAUGCACAGGAACUCCGGUGGCGAAGGCGGCACGCUGGGCCCUCCCUGACGCUGAGGCGCGAAAGCCAGGGGAGCGAACGGG